This is a non-coding RNA of Pelobates cultripes (western spadefoot toad), 211 nucleotides long. The record is from the annotation of a GenBank genome assembly. NCBI's taxonomy places the organism in Eukaryota, Metazoa, Chordata, Amphibia, Anura, Pelobatidae.
GGGACCUGAUGGAAUACACCCAAAGCUAUUAAAAGAGCUUAGUGGUGUACUAGCAAAACCAUUAACAGAUUUAUUUAACCAAUCAUUGUUAACAGGAGUAGUCCCAGAAGAUUGGAAUUUAGCGAAUGUUGUGCCCAUUUACAAGAAAGGUAAUAGGGAGGAGUCGGGCAACUAUAGGCCAGUAAGCCUUACUUCAGUAGUGGGGAAAGUG